This 129-nucleotide transfer RNA is filed under the name Clonostachys rosea f. rosea IK726. It matches the Rfam family "tRNA". Rfam says of the family: Transfer RNA (tRNA) molecules are approximately 80 nucleotides in length. Their secondary structure includes four short double-helical elements and three loops (D, anti-codon, and T loops). Further hydrogen bonds mediate the characteristic L-shaped molecular structure. tRNAs have two regions of fundamental functional importance: the anti-codon, which is responsible for specific mRNA codon recognition, and the 3' end, to which the tRNAs corresponding amino acid is attached (by aminoacyl-tRNA synthetases). tRNAs cope with the degeneracy of the genetic code in two manners: having more than one tRNA (with a specific anti-codon) for a particular amino acid; and 'wobble' base-pairing, i.e. permitting non-standard base-pairing at the 3rd anti-codon position. Lineage: Eukaryota; Fungi; Ascomycota; Sordariomycetes; Hypocreales; Bionectriaceae. The record is from RNAcentral.
GGAGCUUUGGCGCAGCGGUAGCGCGGUAUGUAAUAAAUAUCUCUCUAAUCAGUCUUCGAUCCCUCAACUAACGAAGAAUUAGUGUGAUUCCAGUCCACAAGGUCAUCGGUUCAAAUCCGAUAAGCUUCA